Molecule: ribosomal RNA, 253 nt
Filed under: uncultured bacterium
Lineage: Bacteria
Description: partial 16S ribosomal RNA
Rfam family: Bacterial small subunit ribosomal RNA
Source: RNAcentral
UACGUAGGGUGCAAGCGUUGUCCGGAAUUAUUGGGCGUAAAGAGCUCGUAGGCGGCCUGUCGCGUCGGCUGUGAAAACCCGAGGCUCAACCUCGGGCCUGCAGUCGAUACGGGCAGGCUAGAGUUCGGUAGGGGAGACUGGAACUCCUGGUGUAGCGGUGAAAUGCGCAGAUAUCAGGAGGAACACCGGUGGCGAAGGCGGGUCUCUGGGCCGAAACUGACGCUGAGGAGCGAAAGCGUGGGGAGCGAACAGG